AUGAGCUCCUUCAUCUACGCCAUCGUGGAGGCCUUCACGGCGACGGGAGACAGCCCUGGGUGGAUCUCCGACGACCUCAACAAGGGCCACCUCGACUACUUCUUCUGGGCCAUGGCUGCAAUGUGCACGCUCAACUUCGUCGUGUACAGCGGAAUCGUCAAGAACUACAGGCUCAAGACGAUCAUCUCGUGA
This 192-nucleotide ribosomal RNA is filed under the name Triticum aestivum (bread wheat). RNAcentral describes it as "partial small subunit ribosomal RNA". The record is from RNAcentral. Lineage: Eukaryota; Viridiplantae; Streptophyta; Magnoliopsida; Poales; Poaceae.